UACGAAGGGGGCUAGCGUUGCGCGGAAUCACUGGGCGUAAAGGGUGCGUAGGCGGGUUUUUAAGUCAGGGGUGAAAUCCUGGAGCUCAACUCCAGAACUGCCUUUGAUACUGAAGAUCUUGAGUCCGGGAGAGGUGAGUGGAACUGCGAGUGUAGAGGUGAAAUUCGUAGAUAUUCGCAAGAACACCAGUGGCGAAGGCGGCUCACUGGCCCGGUACUGACGCUGAGGCACGAAAGCGUGGGGAGCAAACAGG
This 253-nucleotide ribosomal RNA is filed under the name uncultured bacterium. Its description in RNAcentral is "partial 16S ribosomal RNA". It matches the Rfam family "Bacterial small subunit ribosomal RNA", at positions 524 to 776 of the family's 1533-position model. The record is from RNAcentral.